Molecule: non-coding RNA, 84 nt
Organism: Candidatus Omnitrophica bacterium CG1_02_41_171
Lineage: Bacteria; Pseudomonadati; Candidatus Omnitrophota
Source: Rfam
GCCGGGAUGGCGGAAAUGGCAGACGCGCCAGCUUGAGGGGCUGGUGGAAGCAAUUCCGUAGGGGUUCAAAUCCCCUUCCCGGCA